CCUANGGGAGGCAGCAGUGGGGAAUCUUGCACAAUGGAGGCAACUCUGAUGCAGCGACGCCGCGUGAGCGAUGAAGCCCUUCGGGGUGUAAAGCUCUUUCGACGGGAACGAUAAUGACGGUACCCGGAGAAGAAGCUGCGGCUAACUACGUGCCAGCAGCCGCGGUAAUACGUAGGCAGCGAGCGUUGUUCGGAAUUAUUGGGCGUAAAGAGUGCGUAGGCGGUGUUCUAAGUCUGUCGUGAAAUCUCCCGGCUUAACUGGGAGGGUGCGGCGGAAACUGGGAUGCUAGAGGGUGGGAGAGGUAAGCGGAAUUCCUGGUGUAGCGGUGAAAUGCGUAGAUAUCAGGAGGAACACCUGUGGUGUAGACAGCUUACUGGACCACUUCUGACGCUGAGGCACGAAAGCGUGGGUAGCAAACAGGAUUAGAUACCCCUNUANUC
Molecule: ribosomal RNA, 440 nt
Filed under: uncultured bacterium
Lineage: Bacteria
Description: bacterial SSU rRNA
Rfam family: Bacterial small subunit ribosomal RNA
Source: RNAcentral